This 468-nucleotide ribosomal RNA is filed under the name uncultured bacterium. Its description in RNAcentral is "partial 16S ribosomal RNA". It matches the Rfam family "Bacterial small subunit ribosomal RNA", at positions 28 to 507 of the family's 1533-position model. The record is from RNAcentral.
GACGAACGCUGGCGGCGUGCUUAACACAUGCAAGUCGAACGGAAAGGCCCUGCUUUUGUGGGGUGCUCGAGUGGCGAACGGGUGAGUAACACGUGAGUAACCUGCCCUUGACUUUGGGAUAACUUCAGGAAACUGGGGCUAAUACCGGAUAGGAGCUCCUGCUGCAUGGUGGGGGUUGGAAAGUUUCGGCGGUUGGGGAUGGACUCGCGGCUUAUCAGCUUGUUGGUGGGGUAGUGGCUUACCAAGGCUUUGACGGGUAGCCGGCCUGAGAGGGUGACCGGCCACAUUGGGACUGAGAUACGGCCCAGACUCCUAAGGGAGGCAGAAGUGGGGAAUAUUGCACAAUGGGCGGAAGCCUGAUGCAGCAACGCCGCGUGCGGGAUGACGGCCUUCGGGUUGUAAACCGCUUUCGCCUGUGACGAAGCGUGAGUGAAGGUAAUGGGUAAAGAAGCACCGGCUAACUACGUG